GAACGCUGGCGGCGUGCCUAAUACAUGCAAGUCGAGCGAACGGACGAGAAGCUUGCUUCUCUGAUGUUAGCGGCGGACGGGUGAGUAACACGUGGAUAACCUACCUAUAAGACUGGGAUAACUUCGGGAAACCGGAGCUAAUACCGGAUAAUAUUUUGAACCGCAUGGUUCAAAAGUGAAAGACGGUCUUGCUGUCACUUAUAGAUGGAUCCGCGCUGCAUUAGCUAGUUGGUAAGGUAACGGCUUACCAAGGCAACGAUGCAUAGCCGACCUGAGAGGGUGAUCGGCCACACUGGAACUGAGACACGGUCCAGACUCCUACGGGAGGCAGCAGUAGGGAAUCUUCCGCAAUGGGCGAAAGCCUGACGGAGCAACGCCGCGUGAGUGAUGAAGGUCUUCGGAUCGUAAAACUCUGUUAUUAGGGAAGAACAUAUGUGUAAGUAACUGUGCACAUCUUGACGGUACCUAAUCAGAAAGCCACGGCUAACUACGUG
Molecule: ribosomal RNA, 494 nt
Filed under: uncultured bacterium
Lineage: Bacteria
Description: partial 16S ribosomal RNA
Rfam family: Bacterial small subunit ribosomal RNA
Source: RNAcentral